CUGUCGGCAACGGAUAUCUAGGCUCUCGCAUCGAUGAAGAACGUAGCGAAAUGCGAUACUUGGUGUGAAUUGCAGAAUCCCGCGAAUCAUCGAGUUUUUGAACGCAAGUUGCGCCCGAAGCCAUUCGGCCGAGGGCACGUCUGCCUGGGUGUCACGCAUCGUUGCC
Molecule: ribosomal RNA, 166 nt
Filed under: Quercus engleriana
Lineage: Eukaryota; Viridiplantae; Streptophyta; Magnoliopsida; Fagales; Fagaceae
Description: 5.8S ribosomal RNA
Rfam family: 5.8S ribosomal RNA
About the family: 5.8S ribosomal RNA (5.8S rRNA) is a component of the large subunit of the eukaryotic ribosome. It is transcribed by RNA polymerase I as part of the 45S precursor that also contains 18S and 28S rRNA.
Source: RNAcentral